Molecule: long non-coding RNA, 617 nt
Filed under: Ananas comosus (pineapple)
Lineage: Eukaryota; Viridiplantae; Streptophyta; Magnoliopsida; Poales; Bromeliaceae
Description: long non-coding RNA (ACOM_LNC023274)
Source: RNAcentral
AAGAGAGGAAUUACCCGAACUCAUGAUUUCCUCCCUUUCGGAAAGGAAGAACGUGAAAUUCAAACAAGACUAAACAGACAGGACUAAACAGACUUAAUCUAUAUAUAUAUAGAGUGAGGCUACUAUGCUAUCGGAAGCACGGAGCCUUCCGUGCUUCCAGCUCGUUUUCGAUGUUGCGAUUUUCGAAUCGUCGAUCGGCUCCGUUAAACUUGAUCUAGAGUAUUUGAAGUACCUAGAAAAUAAAUUUUAUAAUUUCACGAUAUCAUUUGCCUAGUGAACAAAGGAGCUCAAAAUCAACGGCUGAAAAUAAAAAUCUUACAAAAUGUAAUAAUAUGACAUUAAAAUUUUAAAUCAAAGAUAUUGAUCUUGUUUUAUAUAGUAUAAAUAAUUUUCUAUCAAAAUUUUACGUGAUUUGGAUAUUUCUACACCGUUAAACUUACAAACGGCUCACUACGGCCAUUGAAAUUUGUUGAUUUUGAGCCCAUUCGAUCACUAGGCAAAUGAUAUCGAAAAAUAAUAAAAUUUAUUUUCUAGGUACUCCAAAUACUCUAGAUCAAGUUUAACGGAGCCGAUCGACGAUUCGAAAGUCGCAACAUCGAAAACGAGCUGGAAGCACG